This 512-nucleotide ribosomal RNA is filed under the name uncultured bacterium. RNAcentral describes it as "bacterial SSU rRNA". It matches the Rfam family "Bacterial small subunit ribosomal RNA", at positions 15 to 518 of the family's 1533-position model. The record is from RNAcentral.
GAUCCUGGCUUAGGAUGAACGCUAGCUACAGGCUUAACACAUGCAAGUCGAGGGGCAGCAUUGGAGUAGCAAUACUCAGAUGGCGACCGGCGCACGGGUGAGUAACACGUAUCCAACCUGCCGCUUACUCGGGGAUAGCCUUUCGAAAGAAAGAUUAAUACCCGAUGGUAUAAAGAGUUCGCAUGUUCUCUUUAUUAAAGAAUUUCGGUAAGCGAUGGGGAUGCGUUCCAUUAGAUAGUUGGCGGGGUAACGGCCCACCAAGUCUACGAUGGAUAGGGGUUCUGAGAGGAAGGUCCCCCACAUUGGAACUGAGACACGGUCCAAACUCCUACGGGAGGCAGCAGUGAGGAAUAUUGGUCAAUGGACGAGAGUCUGAACCAGCCAAAAGUAGCGUGAAGGAUGACUGCCCUAUGGGUUGUAAACUUCUUUUAUAAGGGAAUAAAGUGAGGGACGUGUCCCUUUUUGUAUGUACCUUAUGAAUAAGGAUCGGCUAACUCCGUGCCAGCCGCCGC